CUGGGAGCCUCCGACCAAGCCGCGGGAGGGCAGGUUUCAACACUGACGGUCCCGCAUCCGGGGGAUCCCUCAGUCCCAGGCAGAGCAGGCCGUCGGUCACCCCUCCAUCUCCCCUGCUGCCGCUGGUCCAGGUCGGGCCUCUCUGGUUCGGGGCAGACUGGUCUCCUGCCCCAAGUCCAGCGCCUCCCACCGUUCUCCACACAGCAGCCAGAUGUCGUCACUGUGAGGAGGGAUCUGGAGCUGCAUCCUGCUGGGCCUCCAGGGAGCAAUAGCGCCCCCUCACCUCUUCAUUCCCAGUCCUCAAGGCUGGCUCUGGUGCC
This 320-nucleotide long non-coding RNA is filed under the name Equus caballus (horse). RNAcentral describes it as "lncRNA (ENSECAG00000052602.1)". The record is from RNAcentral. Lineage: Eukaryota; Metazoa; Chordata; Mammalia; Perissodactyla; Equidae.